Rhipicephalus sanguineus (brown dog tick) is the source of this 2029-nucleotide RNA transcript. RefSeq lists it as uncharacterized. The transcript is spliced from 9 exons. Lineage: Eukaryota; Metazoa; Arthropoda; Arachnida; Ixodida; Ixodidae. The record is from RefSeq and is a predicted model, not a curated record.
UCAUGAACAGGCGCCGAUGAAACCUCCGUCUCAUCGUGCCAGCCGCCACUUCGGAAGCACGUUGACAUCGUUUCUUUCCGGCAAAACGCUUUGACCUACACGUCUGGACGUGUGACAACGAUUCAUAGUGAACUCAAACUGACCAUCUAUCAGCUGUCCUUGUGAGCAGAGUUGAAAGACUGCGGAACACUUGAACCCGAUGACAUUUCAGACUGAAAUGAAAGCACGCGUCUCGUCCGGUGUGGGUGUCGCUGUUGCAGCAGUGCUGAUUGUCUUUGUUCAAGGUGCUCGCAGCAUACGGUUCGAGCGCGUGGACGUCCCUGGAGCGGUGAUCAGCGGCGAACCCGUCCUGCUCUUAUGCGAGUACAAUCUGGAAGGCGCCGAGCUGUACUCAGUCAAGUGGUACAAGAACAACGUCGAGUUCUACAGGUACUUGCCCAGCGACGUGCCGCCAGGCCAGAAAUACGACCUCGUCGGGCUCUACGUAAACUUGUCCAAGUCCAACCACAACCGAGUGUACCUGGACCGUACUGACCUCAACAGCGAAGGAACCUACGGCUGCGAAGUGUCCACCGAGGGACCAGAAUUCCGCACAAUCAUCUUUGAGAAGGACCUCAACAUCUACGUGUUGCCAGAGCGUGGGCCCGUCAUCGAGGGCGUUCGUGGACGCUACCAACUUGGAGACAUCUUGAACGCCACCUGUCGGUCAAGGCCUUCAAAGCCUGCACCUUUCCUCAACUGGUUUGUCAACGGAAAGCCGGCGCCAUCCCAUCAGGUGACGCACAAGGGACCGUACCGGCGUGCCAACGCGUUGCAGGCAUCAGUGUCUACGCUGCGAUUCCAGAUCACAGCCCGCCAUCUGGCUCACGGCUUGCUCAGGCUGCGCUGUUCCUCUUCCAUCAACAAGAACCACUCUCGAAGCAGCCAGGAACUGCUCGUUGGCACACAGAGGCACCUGACUACCGAGAAAACUUACGAAGAGGAGAACGCGCCGACAGUGACCGGCGUGAAGCCGUACUACUCGGUGGGACACACGAUCGACCUGAACUGCAGCGCUGUCAUGACAACCGAUGAGAUUGAACUGGAGUGGUUCAUCAACGAUGAUGAGCACAUGCCCAGCAGCUACCAGACGCGCUACCCGGUGAGCAGGCACUCCGAGACCGGACUGCGCGAAACAGUGGUGCGACUCCGCUUCGUUCUUCAGCCACGUCACUAUCACAACGACGAACUGCGGCUGCGCUGCACGGCCACCUUCUCCAAGCUGCUCACGCUAUCCUCCGAAGAAACGGUGCUCGUAGCCUCCCAGCAGACACCAGGCUUUCACAUAGCGGAGAGCCACUCAGGCAGAACGGCACCUGGCUGCGGAACGCUCUUCUGGACGGCCCUGGAAGCAGUGUUCGUCUUUUUCCUUCUGCGCUAACGCGUACGAAGGCCGUGACGUCACAAUGACAAGCGCACACUUGGACAGGAGAGAAUCGAGCGGCGUUUGGCUUAAUGUGUAGCAUCGUUGUUGCUCAGGCUUGGCGACAAUCGCGGAUCCCAAAAUCAGCAUCGCCGGCGGCGGAAGACACGACAGGUGUGCGCGUUCAGUGGGUCGUGCUUCAAAACUACUGUGCUGGGAAGACCGCUAUGUGUGUGUCUACGCUACCAGUGGCGAUUCGUUUUUCUUCUUGUUGUUGUUGUUACUCUCCUAUGUUAACAGUGUUGGCAAGCAGUUGCUGUCAUCCUACUUCGACACGACGUGUUUGGUAGGCAUUUCUGUGAGAGCCGCGAUGUUGUCACUGCAUAGAUGUGCAUUCUAGAAUGUGUGCCAGAGAUGGGAAGUCCCGACAUCCAAUCAACGAGAGUGGAGGGGCUCGACAAGACGUGCUUCUGGUGUUUCGAGCGUAGUACCGGUCGCUAAGUCCAUUCAACCGAGGAACAGAAGGCAAAGGAAGUGUCGCAGCAAUACAAGGAAACGGCCCGCUAAUCCAGCAGCCUGAACAGACCAAGGGCAGCGAUGACACAAUAAAAGUGCCUCUACUAUGCA